CGGAAUGUAGCUCAGCGGUAGAGCAGUGACUUACAAGUCAUGUGUCGCAGGUUCGAUUCCUGCCAUUCCGA
RNAcentral lists this transfer RNA (71 nucleotides) under Blautia sp. BCRC 81119. RNAcentral's name for it is "tRNA-OTHER". It matches the Rfam family "tRNA". From Rfam's summary of the family: Transfer RNA (tRNA) molecules are approximately 80 nucleotides in length. RNAcentral also lists the same sequence under 2 other names. The record is from RNAcentral. Lineage: Bacteria; Bacillati; Bacillota; Clostridia; Lachnospirales; Lachnospiraceae.